CGUAUCACCCAAGACAACUUUACGGAGUUGACGAUUGACGGAGCGAAGCGACGUCAAAGCGUUCAUUAAAGUCGAGUUGGCUUAGGGAUACGUUCGUUGGGUAGGGGAGCGUUCUGUAAGCCUGUGAAGGUGGCCUGUGAGGGUUGCUGGAGGUAUCAGAAGUGCGAAUGCUGACAUAAGUAACGAUAAAGCGGGUGAAAAGCCCGCUCGCCGGAAGACCAAGGGUUCCUGUCCAACGUUAAUCGGGGCAGGGUGAGUCGACCCCUAAGGCGAGGCCGAAAGGCGUAGUCGAUGGGAAACGGGUUAAUAUUCCCGUACUUGGUGUUACUGCGAAGGGGGGACGGAGAAGGCUAUGUUGGCCGGGCGACGGUUGUCCCGGUUUAAGCGUGUAGGUGUGUGUUCCAGGUAAAUCCGGUUCACUUUAACACUGAGGCGUGACGACGAGGCACUACGGUGCUGAAGCAACAAAUGCCCUGCUUCCAGGAAAAGCCUCUAAGCAUCAGGUAACAUCAAAUCGUACCCCAAACCGACACAGGUGGUCAGGUAGAGAAUACCAAGGCGCUUGAGAGAACUCGGGUGAAGGAACUAGGCAAAAUGGUGCCGUAACUUCGGGAGAAGGCACGCUGACACGUAGGUGAAGUGAUUUACUCAUGGAGCUGAAGUCAGUCGAAGAUACCAGCUGGCUGCAACUGUUUAUUAAAAACACAGCACUGUGCAAACACGAAAGUGGACGUAUACGGUGUGACGCCUGCCCGGUGCCGGAAGGUUAAUUGAUGGGGUCAGCGCAAGCGAAGCUCCUGAUCGAAGCCCCGGUAAACGGCGGCCGUAACUAUAACGGUCCUAAGGUAGCGAAAUUCCUUGUCGGGUAAGUUCCGACCUGCACGAAUGGCGUAAUGAUGGCCAGGCUGUCUCCACCCGAGACUCAGUGAAAUUGAACUCGCUGUGAAGAUGCAGUGUACCCGCGGCAAGACGGAAAGACCCCGUGAACCUUUACUAUAGCUUGACACUGAACAUUGAGCCUUGAUGUGUAGGAUAGGUGGGAGGCUUUGAAGUGU
RNAcentral lists this ribosomal RNA (1055 nucleotides) under Salmonella enterica subsp. enterica serovar Mbandaka. RNAcentral's name for it is "partial 23S ribosomal RNA". It matches the Rfam family "Bacterial large subunit ribosomal RNA", at positions 1154 to 2165 of the family's 2925-position model. The record is from RNAcentral. Lineage: Bacteria; Pseudomonadati; Pseudomonadota; Gammaproteobacteria; Enterobacterales; Enterobacteriaceae.